Camellia sinensis is the source of this 1795-nucleotide non-coding RNA. NCBI's taxonomy places the organism in Eukaryota, Viridiplantae, Streptophyta, Magnoliopsida, Ericales, Theaceae. The record is from RefSeq and is a predicted model, not a curated record.
AUCCACCCCACCAUUCACAUCCAACGGCUCACAACCACCUUGCUUUUUCUCCCUCAUUAACUCUUUUCGUUGGCAAGUAGUCGUCUCUAUCUCCAAUCUGUCAUCUUUCUCCCUCAUCUUUUCCCUACCACCACCACCAGAUCUUCAUCACUACAACCACUCCCCUCUUUCUUUGUCUUUCUCUCCAUCUCUGUCUCACACAAUCCCAGAAUCACGCCCAUGUUUCUUUAUCUUUCGAUGAGGAUCACAGAUCACAGAUCACAAAGUAUUAUUCGAUAGAACAUAGGAUUUCGGCUUCAUCUUCUCUAACCCUCUGUUCUAUCUCUCUCUCUAAACCCUAGCCCUUGAAAUCGAAACCCUAUUGUAUAUUCGAUCGAUGUCUGAAAUAAACCGAAACCCUUGAUUGAAUCAAGUCGAAACCCUUGAAAUCACUUCAUGAAGAAGAUGAAACCCUUGAAAUGAAACUCAGAGCAUCCAAAUUGGCUUUCUGAAGAAGAUGAAGCCGACUCUUUAGAAUGCUGAAAUCAUGUGAAAUUCGUCAACCAUCUUCAAAUCCAGGAAAGGAUGAGAGAAGAGGGGAGGAAGGAAGGAAAGCAGCUGGUUUUAGGUGAGCUGGCAGAUUUGGUAGCUACCAAAGCUUGUGCCAACUUUGACACAAGAUUUGGCAAAUACCAAAUUUGGCAGCUGCUAUAGGAUGCCAUUGGAGAACUCAUCUAUGCCCAAGUUGCCAUAUUUUGGCAAUAACAAGUGUUUUAGCAAUCCAUUGGAGAUACGGUUAGUAGAGUAAUUAGUGGAGUCAUCAAAAUCAUAUUUGGUUGUAUUAAAAUGUUGUAGGACUAUUAGUUCAAUUAGACUACCGAUCCUCCCUAAGAAUGGGAUUAGCAUACCCAUUGGGGAGUUGGGUUUGCUAAUCCAAUCCCUUUGAAUUGAAAAUAAAAGACCAUUUUUAAUAUUAUUAUGUUUUAAAUAAUUUAUUAGUGAAAGAAAUACUUAAAUUUUUUUAUAAAUAUAUUUUUUUAUAUUUAGUGAAUUUUUAAAUGUUUUAAGCAAAAUUUAUAUUUUUUAGAACCAAAAAAAAUAAUAAUAAUUAUAAUAUUGAAAAUACUAAAAAUUUUAAAAUAUUAAUUUUAUAUAAUAAUACUAUCUCUAGCAUUACUAAUCCUGUAACAUUUUUUAUCCUACAUCUCUAACCUAAUACUAGUACAUUAGUAAUCUCCUCACUCAAUUACACCAUACUUUAAUUCCUUUCAUCCUAUGGAGCCAUGACCUAUAUGUGUAGAAAUUUGUGUAGUCUUACCAUGGAGUGGUUAUUGGGUAUUCUUGAAGAAUGGCCAUAUGGUGUUUUCACGUAUUGUGAUUGUUUGAAAAAAGUAAGACUCAUGAUUUUGUGUCAGGUGAUUGAAACAUGAAAGGGCAUGGCGUAUGAUGAUUAGUGAAGGAGUAUGAAUACAUGACACUCUAGGAGCAUUGAAUAGUUUUUCCUUAACAUGAAAAAAGGAUCAUAUACAUAAUUGUUUUGGCGCUAAAAUAGUCAAAAAGUAACAACAAAAAAGUGUAACUGUUUUCUCUACUUUUUAAUGUACGUUCAUAAAAAAUAAAAAAUUCAACUAAAAUAAUCAGUUCCCAAAACAACCUAUAGUUAGGUGGCGUUUGUUUCUCUUGAUUAGGAGAAUCGAACUAAAAAAUAUAGGGUAAAAUAUAGUUUUAAUUAGAUCAAUUUUAUCUUAAUUUUUCAUAUUGUAUCAAUUUAAUUUAAUUAAUAAUAUUUUUUUAGAAAUUAGACUGGAAUUGAAGG